GCCAUUCCGUUGGGGUGCCCUGCUUGUCGGGGCUGAGAGGCCGCGUGCCAACCCAUCGAACCUGAUCCGGGCAAUGCCGGCGUAGGGAACGGAGACAGAGUGGCC
Molecule: non-coding RNA, 105 nt
Filed under: Paracoccus seriniphilus
Lineage: Bacteria; Pseudomonadati; Pseudomonadota; Alphaproteobacteria; Rhodobacterales; Paracoccaceae
Description: TPP sequence
Rfam family: TPP riboswitch aptamer (THI element)
About the family: Vitamin B(1) in its active form thiamin pyrophosphate (TPP) is an essential coenzyme that is synthesised by coupling of pyrimidine and thiazole moieties in bacteria. The previously detected thiamin-regulatory element, thi box was extended, resulting in a new, highly conserved RNA secondary structure, the THI element, which is widely distributed in eubacteria and also occurs in some archaea.
Source: Rfam by way of RNAcentral